CAGCAGCCGCGGGAACACGUAGGUGGCAAGCGUUGUCCGGAAUUAUUGGGCGUAAAGGGCUCGCAGGCGGUUUAGUAAGUCUGAAGUUAAAGGCAUUGGCUCAACCAAUGUAUGCUUUGGAAACUGUUAGACUUGAGUGCAGAAGGGGAGAGUGGAAUUCCAUGUGUAGCGGUGAAAUGCGUAGAUAUAUGGAGGAACACCGGUGGCGAAAGCGGCUCUCUGGUCUGUCACUGACGCUGAGGCUCGAAAGCGUGGGUAGCGAACAGGAUUAGAUACCCGAGUAGUCCCUGUCUCUUAUACA
Molecule: ribosomal RNA, 301 nt
Filed under: uncultured bacterium
Lineage: Bacteria
Description: partial 16S ribosomal RNA
Rfam family: Bacterial small subunit ribosomal RNA
Source: RNAcentral